This 432-nucleotide long non-coding RNA is filed under the name Nicotiana tabacum (common tobacco). RNAcentral describes it as "long non-coding RNA (NTAB_LNC005027)". The record is from RNAcentral. Lineage: Eukaryota; Viridiplantae; Streptophyta; Magnoliopsida; Solanales; Solanaceae.
UUAUGCAAACUUAGCCGCUUCUUGAGCAGCAGAGGUAGCAUCCUUAAAUUUCAUGUUCCAAUUUCGCCUGCCAACAGGAAAAUUACCAUUACAAUCUCUAGGAAAUGAUUACCCAUGUUCCAACCUUUCAUCCUUGAAACCUAAGUGGCAUGAACCACCAUCAUCAACUCAAUAUUGACUUGAAAGUUCUACAACAACUCUGGCAGCUAGGCUUGAAUGUUAUGCUAAUUUAGCCGCUAGCUUGAGCAGCAGAGGUAGCAUCCUUAAAUUUCAUGUUCCAAUUUCGCCUGCCAACCGAAAAAUUACCAUUACCAUCUCUAGGAAAUGAUUGCCCAUGUUCCAACAUUUCAUCAUUGACACCUAAGUGGCAUGAACCACCAUCAUCAACAAAAUAUUGCCUUGAAAGUUCUACAACAACUCUGGCAGCUAGGC